This 440-nucleotide ribosomal RNA is filed under the name uncultured bacterium. Its description in RNAcentral is "partial 16S ribosomal RNA". It matches the Rfam family "Bacterial small subunit ribosomal RNA", at positions 339 to 795 of the family's 1533-position model. The record is from RNAcentral.
CUACGGGAUGCACCAGUGAGGAAUAUUGCACAAUGGAGGGAACUCUGAUGCAGCAACGCCGCGUGGAGGAUGACGCAUUUCGGUGUGUAAACUCCUUUUAUAUGUCAAGAAAAUGACGGUAGCAUAUGAGUAAGCACCGGCUAACUCCGUGCCAGCAGCCGCGGUGAAUACGGAGGGUGCAAGCGUUACUCGGAAUCACUGGGCGUAAAGGACGCGUAGGCGGGAUAUCAAGUCAGGUGUGAAAUCCUACAGCUUAACUGUAGAACUGCACUUGAAACUGGUAAGCUAGAGUAUGGGAGGGGGAGGUGGAAUUAGUGGUGUAGGGGUAAAAUCCGUAGAUAUCACUAGGAAUACCUAAAGCGAAGGCGAUCUCCUGGAACAUAACUGACGCUAAGGCGUGAAAGCGUGGGGAGCAAACAGGAUUAGAUACCCGGGUAGUC